GCCACCAGUACUAACAACUCCACACCCUCACCCUGUCCAUCCAAACCGUCGCCACACCCCGCGCUGCGCUCCUCGCCACCACCAGAGGGGAUAGCGAAGGCGAGCGGCUUCUCCACCAGCCUCGAGCUGCAGCUUCCCUCCUUGCGGGCACGAGGACGCUUCGCUGCGUUUCGUGUGCCAGCAAAGAGCUUGCUGCCGCGGAGAACAGCCGCUGGCGCUCCGGAAGGUACGCGCUUGUGCUCGCGUGACUGUUAGGACCGGUGCGUGUGGUGUCGCGGAGUAGUGGACUCUGAAUUUUCUUGGUCAAAAUGUAGGCCUUUGAGUGGUGCAGAAUAGGUCUCUUGUAGCCUGUUUGGUUCUUAUCUUCAAGUCAAUCUUUAGGUUGCGUGCAACAGAUUAGUUAUCAAUUGGAAAUGGUGAAGUCUGAAGGAAGCAGUUUCACAAUUCUGCAGCUCCUGAGUUGGGGUUGGUGCCACAAUUUCCAAUCGGAUGUCGAUUCUGUAGGCUGUGCUAAUGUAAAUUCGUAAAUUGGGAUGUAAUUUGCAUCCUGAGCAGGUAUUAUGUUAAGACAGGAUUACA
This is a long non-coding RNA of Phragmites australis (common reed), 579 nucleotides long. RefSeq lists it as uncharacterized. The record is from RefSeq and is a predicted model, not a curated record. The transcript is spliced from 2 exons. Lineage: Eukaryota; Viridiplantae; Streptophyta; Magnoliopsida; Poales; Poaceae.